CUUGAACGCUGGCGGCAGGCCUAACACAUGCAAGUCGAACGAGUGGCGGACGGGUGAGUAAUGUCUGGGAAACUGCCUGAUGGAGGGGGAUAACUACUGGAAACGGUAGCUAAUACCGCAUACCAUCGGAUGUGCCCCGAUGGGAUUGGCUAGUCGGUGGGGUAAAGGCUCACCUAGGCGACGAUCCCUAGCUGGGCUUAGAGGAUGACCAGCCACACUGGACUUGAGACACGGGCCAGACGCCGACGUGAGGCAGCAGUGGGGAAUAUUGGACAAUGGGCGCAAGGCUGAUGCAGCCAUGCCGGGUGUAUGAAGAAGGCCGUCGGUUUGUAAAGUACUUUCAGCGGGGAGGCGUUACCCGCAGAAGAAGCACCGGCUAACUCCGUGCCAGCAGCCGCGGUAAUUC
This 406-nucleotide ribosomal RNA is filed under the name uncultured bacterium. RNAcentral describes it as "partial 16S ribosomal RNA". It matches the Rfam family "Bacterial small subunit ribosomal RNA", at positions 30 to 526 of the family's 1533-position model. The record is from RNAcentral.